Molecule: ribosomal RNA, 446 nt
Filed under: uncultured bacterium
Lineage: Bacteria
Description: partial 16S ribosomal RNA
Rfam family: Bacterial small subunit ribosomal RNA
Source: RNAcentral
CCUACGGGUGGCAGCAGUCGAGAAUCAUUCACAAUGGGGGAAACCCUGAUGGUGCGACGCCGCGUGGGGGAAUGAAGGUCUUCGGAUUGUAAACCCCUGUCAUGUGGGAGCAAAUUAAAAAGAUAGUACCACAAGAGGAAGAGACGGCUAACUCUGUGCCAGCAGCCGCGGUAAUACAGAGGUCUCAAGCGUUGUUCGGAAUCACUGGGCGUAAGGCGUGCGUAGGCUGUUUCGUAAGUCGUGUGUGAAAGGCGCGGGCUCAACCCGCGGACGGCACAAGAUACUGCGAGACUAGAGUAAUGGAGGGGGAACCGGAAUUCUCGGUGUAGCAGUGAAAUGCGUAGAUAUCGAGAGGAACACACGUGGCGAAGGCGGGUUCCAGGACAUUAACUGACGCUGAGGCACGAAGGCCAGGGGAGCGAAAGGGAUUAGAUACCCCUGUAGUC